RNAcentral lists this ribosomal RNA (236 nucleotides) under uncultured bacterium. Its description in RNAcentral is "partial 16S ribosomal RNA". It matches the Rfam family "Bacterial small subunit ribosomal RNA", at positions 102 to 334 of the family's 1533-position model. The record is from RNAcentral.
ACGGGUGAGUAACACGUAUGCAAUCCACCUGUAACAGGGGGAUAACCCGGAGAAAUCCGGACUAAUACCCCAUAAUAUGGGCGCUCCGCAUGGAGAGUCCAUUAAAGAGAGCAAUCUUGGUUACAGACGAGCAUGCACUCCAUUAGCCAGUUGGCGGGGUAACGGCCCACCAAGGCGACGAUGGAUAGGGGUUCUGAGAGGAAGGUCCCCCACAUUGGAACUGAGACACGGUCCAA